This 734-nucleotide ribosomal RNA is filed under the name Neobacillus niacini. Its description in RNAcentral is "bacterial SSU rRNA". It matches the Rfam family "Bacterial small subunit ribosomal RNA", at positions 12 to 729 of the family's 1533-position model. Lineage: Bacteria; Bacillati; Bacillota; Bacilli; Caryophanales; Bacillaceae. The record is from RNAcentral.
UUUGAUCCUGGCUCAGGACGAACGCUGGCGGCGUGCCUAAUACAUGCAAGUCGAGCGAAUCUUGAGGUGCUUGCACCUCUUGGUUAGCGGCGGACGGGUGAGUAACACGUGGGCAACCUGCCUGUAAGACUGGGAUAACUUCGGGAAACCGGAGCUAAUACCGGAUAAUCCUUUUCCUCUCAUGAGGAAAAGCUGAAAGUCGGUUUCGGCUGACACUUACAGAUGGGCCCGCGGCGCAUUAGCUAGUUGGUGAGGUAACGGCUCACCAAGGCGACGAUGCGUAGCCGACCUGAGAGGGUGAUCGGCCACACUGGGACUGAGACACGGCCCAGACUCCUACGGGAGGCAGCAGUAGGGAAUCUUCCGCAAUGGACGAAAGUCUGACGGAGCAACGCCGCGUGAGCGAUGAAGGCCUUCGGGUCGUAAAGCUCUGUUGUUAGGGAAGAACAAGUACCGGAGUAACUGCCGGUACCUUGACGGUACCUAACCAGAAAGCCACGGCUAACUACGUGCCAGCAGCCGCGGUAAUACGUAGGUGGCAAGCGUUGUCCGGAAUUAUUGGGCGUAAAGCGCGCGCAGGCGGUCCUUUAAGUCUGAUGUGAAAGCCCACGGCUCAACCGUGGAGGGUCAUUGGAAACUGGGGGACUUGAGUGCAGAAGAGGAAAGCGGAAUUCCACGUGUAGCGGUGAAAUGCGUAGAGAUGUGGAGGAACACCAGUGGCGAAGGCGGCUUUC